GAGCGACGUGGUAAUGCCGUUAGUACGGCGAGUGAAGCGGCAAAAGCUCAAAUUUGAAAUCUGGCACCUUCGGUGUCCGAGUUGUAAUUUGAAGAAGGUAACUUUGGAGUUGGCUCUUGUCUAUGUUCCUUGGAACAGGACGUCACAGAGGGUGAGAAUCCCGUGCGAUGAGAUGCCCAAUUCUAUGUAAAGUGCUUUCGAAGAGUCGAGUUGUUUGGGAAUGCAGCUCUAAGUGGGUGGUAAAUUCCAUCUAAAGCUAAAUAUUGGCGAGAGACCGAUAGCGAACAAGUACAGUGAUGGAAAGAUGAAAAGAACUUUGAAAAGAGAGUGAAAAAGUACGUGAAAUUGUUGAAAGGGAAGGGCUUGAGAUCAGACUUGGUAUUUUGCGAUCCUUUCCUUCUUGGUUGGGUUCCUCGCAGCUUACUGGGCCAGCAUCGGUUUGGAUGGUAGGAUAAUGACUAAGGAAUGUGGCUCUACUUCGGUGGAGUGUUAUAGCCUUGGUUGAUACUGCCUGUCUAGACCGAGGACUGCGUCUUUUGACUAAGAUGUUGGCAUAUUGGUCUUAAGCCACCCCUCUUGAAACACAGACCAAAAAAAAUAAAAAACCAACAA
RNAcentral lists this ribosomal RNA (612 nucleotides) under Debaryomyces hansenii. RNAcentral's name for it is "LSU rRNA". It matches the Rfam family "Eukaryotic large subunit ribosomal RNA", at positions 56 to 689 of the family's 3401-position model. Lineage: Eukaryota; Fungi; Ascomycota; Pichiomycetes; Serinales; Debaryomycetaceae. The record is from RNAcentral.